AGGUGAGAUUUCAACCAAAAGCUCCUGUACGCAAAGCAACAAAAGCUGCUGUUACAAAAGCUGAAGUGAUUGAUGAUGCUGAAACUGCAAACAGUUAGUGCGACGUUAUCAGGAUGGCUUUACAGCGAAGCCUAAGACUAAUAAAAAAUGUGAGUUCUUUUCUGAGUCUUUACUCCUUGCUGCAUCUAAGAUAUGAGCGUCAAGCACAUGAGCAUUAUGAUCAAGAAUGCUCAAGAGUACCAAAAUUACCCAUUUUAUUGAAGAAUCCUAAAAACUAACAAAUUUUGUUUGGUCAAGUUAGCAUUUAUAGUUGUUUACAUUCUUUUGACUCAAUAUAUAUCCUCAUUAGCUUUCUCUCCCCUCUUUUGGUAGGUAAGGAACUAAGGAGUAGGAGUGGACCCCUAAUCUUCCAAGGC
Chenopodium quinoa (quinoa) is the source of this 416-nucleotide long non-coding RNA. RefSeq lists it as uncharacterized. The transcript is spliced from 3 exons. The record is from RefSeq and is a predicted model, not a curated record. NCBI's taxonomy places the organism in Eukaryota, Viridiplantae, Streptophyta, Magnoliopsida, Caryophyllales, Amaranthaceae.